AUUGAACGCUGGCGGAAUGCUUUACACAUGCAAGUCGAACGGUAGAGGGGGCAACCCCUCGAGAGUGGCGAACGGGUGAGUAAUAUAUCGGAACGUGCCCAGUCGUGGGGGAUAACGUAGCGAAAGUUACGCUAAUACCGCAUACGAUCUACGGAUGAAAGCGGGGGAUCGCAAGACCUCGCGCGAUUGGAGCGGCCGAUAUCAGAUUAGGUAGUUGGUGGGGUAAAGGCUCACCAAGCCAACGAUCUGUAGCUGGUCUGAGAGGACGACCAGCCACACUGGGACUGAGACACGGCCCAGACUCCUACGGGAGGCAGCAGUGGGGAAUAUUGGGCAAUGGAGGAAACUCUGACCCAGCGACGCCGCGUGCGGGAUGAAGGCCUCGG
Molecule: ribosomal RNA, 386 nt
Filed under: uncultured bacterium
Lineage: Bacteria
Description: bacterial SSU rRNA
Rfam family: Bacterial small subunit ribosomal RNA
Source: RNAcentral